Molecule: long non-coding RNA, 590 nt
Organism: Mustela lutreola (European mink)
Lineage: Eukaryota; Metazoa; Chordata; Mammalia; Carnivora; Mustelidae
Exons: 4
Source: RefSeq, a predicted model, not a curated record
UCCUUUCCGAUGCCAGACAAGUUUCUCCUCCUUGAAAAAGUUUCUCCCUCCCAAAGCUCUGCAUUCCUCGGCUCCUCUUUGCGGGGCACAGAAUGGCACCGCUAGAAACGACCUAAUCUGAUGACCUCAUUUCAAGACAAGAACACCAAGGCCUCUUGGGGACACCUUGCCCAAGGUCACAGAGCAGGGCGAAGGUCAACUCAGACCAGACUCCUCCACUCCGGAAUCCCACGGAGCACUCAGACCUCCUCCUAGGAGUCCAAAUCCCGGAAGAAAUGUUUAUUGGGGUUUAGUGUGUUAGGCAACUGCAUUCGUCACUGGAGAGAAAGAGAACUCGACCCCCCGAAAACGACAGAGACGGGGCCGUGGAGGAGUAAACAGAGAGUUAUAACAACAAGGAAUGAGUCCAAGGAACAAUUGGCAAUCAUUUUCGUCUUCAUCAAACACCAAAUUUACAGAUUCCUGGCCCUAAUUUUAUUUUACUUUGUUCCUUUCGGUUUACUCUUUGUGAUCUACAUAGGCUAAAGGAACAUCUAUAAUUAGAAACUCUCUGUAUAAUUACUUAUGUAUAUGCAAUAAAUAAGAGGAAC